This 449-nucleotide ribosomal RNA is filed under the name uncultured bacterium. RNAcentral describes it as "bacterial SSU rRNA". It matches the Rfam family "Bacterial small subunit ribosomal RNA", at positions 355 to 825 of the family's 1533-position model. The record is from RNAcentral.
UGGGGAAUAUUGGACAAUGGGCGCAAGCCUGAUCCAGCCAUGCCGCGUGAGUGAUGAAGGCCUUAGGGUUGUAAUGCUCUUUUUGGCGGGGACGAUAAUGACGGUACCCGCAGAAUAAGCCCCGGCUAACUUCGUGCCAGCAGCCGCGGUAAUACGAAGGGGGCUAGCGUUGUUCGGAAUUACUGGGCGUAAAGCGCACGUAGGCGGAUCAGCAAGUCAGGGGUGAAAUCCCGGGGCUCAACCUCGGAACUGCCUCUGAUACUGCUGGUCUGGAGUCCGGAAGAGGUGGGUGGAAUUCCUAGUGUAGAGGUGAAAUUCGCAGAUAUUAGGAAGAACACCGGUGGCGAAGGCGGCCCACUGGUCCGGUACUGACGCUGAGGUGCGAAAAGCGUGGGGGGCAAACAGGAUUAGAUACCCAAGUAGUCCCUGAGCGGGCUGGCAAGGCGCAU